This 253-nucleotide ribosomal RNA is filed under the name uncultured bacterium. RNAcentral's name for it is "partial 16S ribosomal RNA". It matches the Rfam family "Bacterial small subunit ribosomal RNA", at positions 524 to 776 of the family's 1533-position model. The record is from RNAcentral.
UACAGAGGUCUCAAGCGUUGUUCGGAUUCAUUGGGCGUAAAGGGCGCGUAGGCGGCGCCACAAGUCACUUGUGAAAACUCUGGGCUCAACUCAGAGCCUGCAAGCGAAACUGUGGUGCUGGAGUAUGGGAGAGGUGCGUGGAAUUCCCAGUGUAGAGGUGAAAUUCGUAGAUAUUGGGAAGAACACCGGUGGCGAAGGCGGCUCACUGGUCCGUUACUGACGCUCAGGCGCGACAGCGUGGGGAUCAAACAGG